This 258-nucleotide ribosomal RNA is filed under the name uncultured bacterium. Its description in RNAcentral is "partial 16S ribosomal RNA". It matches the Rfam family "Bacterial small subunit ribosomal RNA", at positions 32 to 271 of the family's 1533-position model. The record is from RNAcentral.
AAUCAACGCUGGCGGCGUGCCUAACACAUGCAAGUCGAGCGCGAAAGGGGGCGAACUCCCGAGUAGAGCGGCGAACGGGUGAGUAACGCGUGGGUAAGUCUACCUCCGAGUGGGGAAGUAACAGCGGGAAACUGCUGCUAAUACCGCAUGACAUCGUCGGGUCGAUGAUCUGACGAUCAAAGCCGGGGACCGCAAGGCCUGGCGCUUGGAGAGGAGCCCGCGUCCGAUUAGCUAGUUGGCGGGGUAACGGCCCACCAA